CAGUUGAGUUCGCCGAAGAUCUGCCUU
This 27-nucleotide small RNA is filed under the name Bombyx mori (domestic silkworm). RNAcentral's name for it is "ovarian small RNA-13375". The record is from RNAcentral. Lineage: Eukaryota; Metazoa; Arthropoda; Insecta; Lepidoptera; Bombycidae.